Molecule: long non-coding RNA, 1110 nt
Filed under: Marmota monax (woodchuck)
Lineage: Eukaryota; Metazoa; Chordata; Mammalia; Rodentia; Sciuridae
Source: RNAcentral
UGUUGACCUAGUUUUUAUACCCAUUGCUGACAUUUCAACUAUGCUCAGUCCAAUGUCUUAUGGAGUGAGAAAUCUGUUUUCCUUAUUUAAGAAAAAUGUGAUAAAAACUGAAUUCACCUAUAUCUCUUUUGCAACAUCAGUGAUGCUAUCAUUUGUUAAUUUCUUAAUUUCACAAAUAUUUGAUUGCCUAAUACAUACCUAUUAUGCUAAAUUUUAGUGAUACAAUGGAGACCAAACAGGCAAAGUCCUGGCUCUCAUAAUAUAAUAGUCUAAGAAUAGAUAGAGAUUAGAAAAAAUAAUCCCACAACUGUUUGAUGAUUAACAGAGAUAAUGGCCAUGGUCAAAACUGCAGGUUACACGAGUAUGUGAUAUAAAUUGUACUCACUUAUUCUGAUGGUCAAAAUUCAUUUUUUAAAGGUACGCUCUUACAUUGCUGGUGGGACCACAAAUUGGUGCAACCCCAGAGUGGUUGGAGUAUGGAGUAUGGAGAUUCCUCAGAAAACUUGGAAUUAAAUCACCAUUUGACUCAGUUAUCCCACUCCUCGGCAUAUACCCAAAGGACUUAAAAUCAGCAUACUACAGUGAUGUGGCCACGUCAGUGUUUAUAGCAGCUCAAUUCAUAAUACCUAAACUGUGAAAUCAAUCUAAGUUCCCUUCAACAGAUGAAUGGAUAAAGAAAAUGUGGUAUAUGUACACAGUGAAAUAUUCCUCAGCUCUAAAGAAUGAAAUAAUGAUAUUUGCUGGUAAAUGGAUGGAACUAGAGAUUAUCAUGUUAAGUGAAAUAAACCAAUCCCCCCAAAACAAAGGCUGCAUGUGGAGAUACUUAAUAAGGUAGGGUGGGGAGAGGGAAGAAUAGAAAUUCAUUGGAUUAGAUAAAGGGGAAUAAAGGGAAGGGAGAAGGGAUGGGAAUAGGAAAGACAGUAGAAUGAAUCAGACAUAACUUCCCUAUGUUCACAUAUGAAUACACAAUCAAUGUAACUGUACAUCAUGUACAACCACAAGAAUGGGGUAUUCUAAAUUAUACUGUACGUAUGUAUGUAUAAUGUCAAAAUAAAUUCUACUGUCAUCUGCAUCUAAAAAGAACAAAUAAAAAAUUCAUUGUCUGGACUG